Molecule: transfer RNA, 90 nt
Filed under: Planococcus massiliensis
Lineage: Bacteria; Bacillati; Bacillota; Bacilli; Caryophanales; Caryophanaceae
Description: tRNA-Pro
Source: RNAcentral
UCCGUUCAGGCGAUUGGAAAUCGUGGUCGCCAAUGGGGAUGGCGGGGCAGCAAGUUGGCGGCGCAACGCUCGGGAUCAUUGGAAUGGGGC